This 2930-nucleotide ribosomal RNA is filed under the name Escherichia coli. RNAcentral describes it as "23S ribosomal RNA". It matches the Rfam family "Bacterial large subunit ribosomal RNA". Lineage: Bacteria; Pseudomonadati; Pseudomonadota; Gammaproteobacteria; Enterobacterales; Enterobacteriaceae. The record is from RNAcentral.
GGGUUGUGAGGUUAAGCGACUAAGCGUACACGGUGGAUGCCCUGGCAGUCAGAGGCGAUGAAGGACGUGCUAAUCUGCGAUAAGCGUCGGUAAGGUGAUAUGAACCGUUAUAACCGGCGAUUUCCGAAUGGGGAAACCCAGUGUGUUUCGACACACUAUCAUUAACUGAAUCCAUAGGUUAAUGAGGCGAACCGGGGGAACUGAAACAUCUAAGUACCCCGAGGAAAAGAAAUCAACCGAGAUUCCCCCAGUAGCGGCGAGCGAACGGGGAGCAGCCCAGAGCCUGAAUCAGUGUGUGUGUUAGUGGAAGCGUCUGGAAAGGCGCGCGAUACAGGGUGACAGCCCCGUACACAAAAAUGCACAUGCUGUGAGCUCGAUGAGUAGGGCGGGACACGUGGUAUCCUGUCUGAAUAUGGGGGGACCAUCCUCCAAGGCUAAAUACUCCUGACUGACCGAUAGUGAACCAGUACCGUGAGGGAAAGGCGAAAAGAACCCCGGCGAGGGGAGUGAAAAAGAACCUGAAACCGUGUACGUACAAGCAGUGGGAGCACGCUUCGGCGUGUGACUGCGUACCUUUUGUAUAAUGGGUCAGCGACUUAUAUUCUGUAGCAAGGUUAACCGAAUAGGGGAGCCGAAGGGAAACCGAGUCUUAACUGGGCGUUAAGUUGCAGGGUAUAGACCCGAAACCCGGUGAUCUAGCCAUGGGCAGGUUGAAGGUUGGGUAACACUAACUGGAGGACCGAACCGACUAAUGUUGAAAAAUUAGCGGAUGACUUGUGGCUGGGGGUGAAAGGCCAAUCAAACCGGGAGAUAGCUGGUUCUCCCCGAAAGCUAUUUAGGUAGCGCCUCGUGAAUUCAUCUCCGGGGGUAGAGCACUGUUUCGGCAAGGGGGUCAUCCCGACUUACCAACCCGAUGCAAACUGCGAAUACCGGAGAAUGUUAUCACGGGAGACACACGGCGGGUGCUAACGUCCGUCGUGAAGAGGGAAACAACCCAGACCGCCAGCUAAGGUCCCAAAGUCAUGGUUAAGUGGGAAACGAUGUGGGAAGGCCCAGACAGCCAGGAUGUUGGCUUAGAAGCAGCCAUCAUUUAAAGAAAGCGUAAUAGCUCACUGGUCGAGUCGGCCUGCGCGGAAGAUGUAACGGGGCUAAACCAUGCACCGAAGCUGCGGCAGCGACGCUUAUGCGUUGUUGGGUAGGGGAGCGUUCUGUAAGCCUGUGAAGGUGUGCUGUGAGGCAUGCUGGAGGUAUCAGAAGUGCGAAUGCUGACAUAAGUAACGAUAAAGCGGGUGAAAAGCCCGCUCGCCGGAAGACCAAGGGUUCCUGUCCAACGUUAAUCGGGGCAGGGUGAGUCGACCCCUAAGGCGAGGCCGAAAGGCGUAGUCGAUGGGAAACAGGUUAAUAUUCCUGUACUUGGUGUUACUGCGAAGGGGGGACGGAGAAGGCUAUGUUGGCCGGGCGACGGUUGUCUCGGUUUAAGCGUGUAGGCUGGUUUUCCAGGCAAAUCCGGAAAAUCAAGGCUGAGGCGUGAUGACGAGGCACUACGGUGCUGAAGCAACAAAUGCCCUGCUUCCAGGAAAAGCCUCUAAGCAUCAGGUAACAUCAAAUCGUACCCCAAACCGACACAGGUGGUCAGGUAGAGAAUACCAAGGCGCUUGAGAGAACUCGGGUGAAGGAACUAGGCAAAAUGGUGCCGUAACUUCGGGAGAAGGCACGCUGAUAUGUAGGUGAAGUCCCUCGCGGAUGGAGCUGAAAUCAGUCGAAGAUACCAGCUGGCUGCAACUGUUUAUUAAAAACACAGCACUGUGCAAACACGAAAGUGGACGUAUACGGUGUGACGCCUGCCCGGUGCCGGAAGGUUAAUUGAUGGGGUCAGCGCAAGCGAAGCUCUUGAUCGAAGCCCCGGUAAACGGCGGCCGUAACUAUAACGGUCCUAAGGUAGCGAAAUUCCUUGUCGGGUAAGUUCCGACCUGCACGAAUGGCGUAAUGAUGGCCAGGCUGUCUCCACCCGAGACUCAGUGAAAUUGAACUCGCUGUGAAGAUGCAGUGUACCCGCGGCAAGACGGAAAGACCCCGUGAACCUUUACUAUAGCUUGACACUGAACAUUGAGCCUUGAUGUGUAGGAUAGGUGGGAGGCUUUGAAGUGUGGACGCCAGUCUGCAUGGAGCCGACCUUGAAAUACCACCCUUUAAUGUUUGAUGUUCUAACGUUGACCCGUGAUCCGGGUUGCGGACAGUGUCUGGUGGGUAGUUUGACUGGGGCGGUCUCCUCCUAAAGAGUAACGGAGGAGCACGAAGGUUGGCUAAUCCUGGUCGGACAUCAGGAGGUUAGUGCAAUGGCAUAAGCCAGCUUGACUGCGAGCGUGACGGCGCGAGCAGGUGCGAAAGCAGGUCAUAGUGAUCCGGUGGUUCUGAAUGGAAGGGCCAUCGCUCAACGGAUAAAAGGUACUCCGGGGAUAACAGGCUGAUACCGCCCAAGAGUUCAUAUCGACGGCGGUGUUUGGCACCUCGAUGUCGGCUCAUCACAUCCUGGGGCUGAAGUAGGUCCCAAGGGUAUGGCUGUUCGCCAUUUAAAGUGGUACGCGAGCUGGGUUUAGAACGUCGUGAGACAGUUCGGUCCCUAUCUGCCGUGGGCGCUGGAGAACUGAGGGGGGCUGCUCCUAGUACGAGAGGACCGGAGUGGACGCAUCACUGGUGUUCGGGUUGUCAUGCCAAUGGCACUGCCCGGUAGCUAAAUGCGGAAGAGAUAAGUGCUGAAAGCAUCUAAGCACGAAACUUGCCCCGAGAUGAGUUCUCCCUGACCCUUUAAGGGUCCUGAAGGAACGUUGAAGACGACGACGUUGAUAGGCCGGGUGUGUAAGCGCAGCGAUGCGUUGAGCUAACCGGUACUAAUGAACCGUGAGGCUUAACCUUACAACGCCGAAGCUGUU